CCCUUAGUUAUCCUAGGCCGCACGCGUGUUACAAUGACUUUUUCAGCAAGUUCUCCUGGCCCGAGAGGGUGCGGGUAAUCUGAAAUCAAAGUCGUGUUAGGGAUAGAUCUUUGCAAUUAUAGAUCUUGAACGAGGAUUUUGUAGUAAGUGCGCGUCAUCACCGCGUACUGACUGCGUCCCUGCUGUUUGUACACACCGCCCGUCGCUUCUACCGAUUGAAUGUUCCGGUGAGUAAUUUGGACCCGGGGGGGGCUUGCUCCUCUGGGGAAGUUUCGCAAACCUAUGCAUUUAGAGGAAGAAGAAGUCGUAACA
This 312-nucleotide ribosomal RNA is filed under the name uncultured eukaryote. Its description in RNAcentral is "partial 18S ribosomal RNA". It matches the Rfam family "Eukaryotic small subunit ribosomal RNA", at positions 1470 to 1796 of the family's 1831-position model. The record is from RNAcentral.